Molecule: unclassified non-coding RNA, 241 nt
Filed under: plant metagenome
Description: partial contains small subunit ribosomal RNA, internal transcribed spacer 1, and 5.8S ribosomal RNA
Rfam family: Eukaryotic small subunit ribosomal RNA (bases 1-53)
Source: RNAcentral
GGAAGUAAAAGUCGAACAAGGUCUCCGUAGGUGAACCUGCGGAGGGAUCAUUACAGAGUUCGUGCCCUCACGGGUAGAUCUCCCACCCUGUGUUAUUAUACCUUUGUUGCUUUGGCGGGCCGCCCUCGGCUACCGGCCCCGGCUGGUACGCGCCCGCCAGAGGACCCCAAACUCUGAAUGUUAGUGUCGUCUGAGUACUAUACAAUAGUUAAAACUUUCAACAACGGAUCUCUUGGUUCUG